UACGGAGGGUGCAAGCGUUAGUCGGAAUUACUGGGCGUAAAGGGUGCGUAGGCGGACUCAUAAGUCAGACGUGAAAUUCCGUGGCUCAACCACGGAGCUGCAUCUGAAACUAUGAGUCUAGCGGAAUGGCGGAGAAAACGGAAUUCCACGUGUAGCGGUGAAAUGCGUAGAUAUGUGGAAGAACACCAGUGGCGAAAGCGGUUUUCUAGCUUAAUCCGGACGCUGAGGCACGAAAGCAAGGGGAUCAAACAGG
RNAcentral lists this ribosomal RNA (253 nucleotides) under uncultured bacterium. RNAcentral describes it as "partial 16S ribosomal RNA". It matches the Rfam family "Bacterial small subunit ribosomal RNA", at positions 524 to 776 of the family's 1533-position model. The record is from RNAcentral.